UACGUAGGGCGCGAGCGUUGUCCGGAAUCACUGGGUUUAAAGGGUGUGUAGGCGGAUUUUUAAGUCAGUGGUGAAAUCUCCGGGCUCAACUCGGAAACUGCCGUGGAUACUAUCAAUCUUGAAUAUCGUGGAGGUAAGCGGAAUAUGUCAUGUAGCGGUGAAAUGCUUAGAGAUGACAUAGAACACCAAUUGCGUAGGCAGCUUACUACACGAUCAUUGACGCUGAGGCACGAAAGCGUGGGGAGCAAACAGG
This 253-nucleotide ribosomal RNA is filed under the name uncultured bacterium. RNAcentral describes it as "partial 16S ribosomal RNA". It matches the Rfam family "Bacterial small subunit ribosomal RNA", at positions 524 to 776 of the family's 1533-position model. The record is from RNAcentral.